UACGUAGGGGGCGAGCGUUGUCCGGAUUCAUUGGGCGUAAAGAGCUCGUAGGCGGCUUGGCAAGUCGGGUGUGAAAACUUCAGGCUCAACCUGGAGCGGCCACUCGAUACUGCCAUGGCUUGAGUCCGGUAGGGGACCACGGAAUUCCUGGUGUAGCGGUGAAAUGCGCAGAUAUCAGGAGGAACACCGGUGGCGAAGGCGGUGGUCUGGGCCGGAACUGACGCUGAGGAACGAAAGCCAGGGGAGCAAACGGG
This 254-nucleotide ribosomal RNA is filed under the name uncultured bacterium. RNAcentral describes it as "partial 16S ribosomal RNA". It matches the Rfam family "Bacterial small subunit ribosomal RNA", at positions 524 to 776 of the family's 1533-position model. The record is from RNAcentral.